RNAcentral lists this unclassified non-coding RNA (285 nucleotides) under plant metagenome. Its description in RNAcentral is "partial contains small subunit ribosomal RNA and internal transcribed spacer 1". The stretch from base 1 to 54 matches the Rfam family "Eukaryotic small subunit ribosomal RNA", at positions 1778 to 1831 of the family's 1831-position model. The record is from RNAcentral.
GGAAGUAAAAGUCGUAACUAGGUUUCCGUAGGUGAACCUGCGGAAGGAUCAUUAUUGUAUAACCGAGGUGCGAGGGCUGUCGCUGACCCGAAAGGUCGUGCACGCCCGAGUGCCCUCACACACAUCCAUCUCACCCCUAUGUGCACCACCGCGUGGGUCCCCCUUUGGCUUGUUCGGAGGGGGGCUUACGUUUUCACACAAACUUUGUAUGCAGUGUAGAAUGUAUUUUUUGUUUUUGCGAUCACGCAAUCAAUACAACUUUCAACAACGGGUCUCUUGGCUCUC